Molecule: non-coding RNA, 2375 nt
Organism: Myodes glareolus (Bank vole)
Lineage: Eukaryota; Metazoa; Chordata; Mammalia; Rodentia; Cricetidae
Source: RefSeq, a predicted model, not a curated record
AGAUGAGGGGUGGGGCCAGUUCUCCCUAGUGUUGCACCUUGUGAGGGGCAGGGCCAACUCUAUCCAGCCUAUCCUCUAAGCCUUUCAAUAGUAACAGCAGCCAUGAGCAUCAACACAGACUAUGGCUUCAGCAGGGCCAUGAACUCCAGCUCCAGGGAUUCCAGUGCCCUCUUCUGGCCUCUGCAUGCCCCAGGCAUGGAUGACAUCCCCAGAGAUGAAAUGCAGACAACUGUACCACGCAGACGCGGCCUCCCACCCCUGUCUGAGAGUCAGCUGUCUCAGCUUGCACUUUGCUGGAAAGGUGGAUAGGAGAAGAUCAGAGAGGCGACGAGCACUCCAGACUGGCCUUAUUCUCAAAGACAAGCCCAAAGUGAUGAGUCCAUCCUCCAGUCCAUAAGGUGAAGAAGAACUGAUGGCUCCAACUGGGAAGGACCCAUGCCCUGCAAACAGCCUACAAGUGGAUUUUUAACUUCGAGAUAAACUUUCAGUGAAGACUGAAUACUUGGAAGGGACUUGGAAUUAAACAACAGAUUUGAAUCACUCUAAUUAUUGACUCACUGAAAAUGUGAGUUCAAUGUUUGCUGCUUUAAGCCAUUACUUUGAGCUUUUUUAUCCCAGAAGAAUAGACAAUCAGUACAGUGAUAUUUACAUAUUACUGUCUUUGCCAGACCCUUGCAUAAAAAAGGAGAAAUUAAAAGGAAUGAAACAUAGUACCUGCCCCCAGAAGUGCAAGACCUAGUAAAAACAGGAGGAUAGUCAGUUAAGCAAAGCUAUGAGUAUGUGCAAAGUACAGAGAUGGGCAAAGGGAUUCGUAAAUAAUGAGGACCAAGGCUUUGAGGGAUAGGCAAGAGUUAACUAUGAAACUGCUGAAAACAAUAUAGUUUUGCACUGGUAAACAGCCUGGUAAGAGUGGUAACCGACGGGAAACAGGAGUUGGGUUAUCACUAAGAAUUAACCUGCAGGAGGAAGGAGUGAAGGGCAGCCUGAAUUUGUUUGUUUUCAUUUGGUUGAUUGAGCAGAUGAUUAUUUGAUAAACUAAGCUGGACACAAGAGGAGGGUUGAUAAGGGCAGGGGGUGUCGGGAUUGAUAGUGUAUGGGUCACACCACUGGAGACACUAUUAGAUUACAUAAUCAUUAGCAUACACAUAUAAGCAUGGUCAGUACUAGGUCUUGCUAUGUAAUGAAUCACCCUAAAAAUCUGGUGAUUUCAAACAAACAAAAGCUUAAAGAUCUCACAGAUUCUCAUUUUAUUGUUAAACUACAACAUGCCUGGCUUAAUACAACAAAAUGCUUUCAAUAAUCAGUGAAAAUAAACUGAAUAAUGAAAAUGUAAAACAUAAUUGCCUGAAGACUCUCAGAUUCUCAGAGUGGCUCAGCUGCUCAGGAAAUCUGCAGUCAAGAAGGUGGCUGAGAUUUCGAUCAUCUGUGAGCUUGAGAGGAGCCGAAGUCUCCAUUGUCAAGAUGACCACCUACACUGUGGUGCUUUCCAGAUCCUUCCUACAGAGGAUUCUUACAACAGCUGCUCGCAUAGUACCCAACCCCUUCCCAAGCAAAGCAGUCUGAGAACGAGAGUGGCUGUGAGCUACUAGAGCUUUAGCUAGACUCCCAAAUUCUAAGCUGCCACUUCUUGUUAGAAGUGAAGGGCAUCAAUGAACGCACCAAGCAUCUUAGGAUUAAUGUACACACAGGGAUAGCUGCCUACGUACACGCGGAAGUCGAUAGCACUGGUGCCAGUGUAGCAGUUUCUGGGUGUUUAUGAAUGAAAUAGUGACACCGUAUGCACAAGUUUUAUCAUUUAAUAUAUUGUAAAUAGGUCUGUGGUAUUAAGUCAUGAAUGGAGACUGACGGCAGGCCAGCUUGGGUUCGAGUCUCAGACGCAUCCGUGCAAACUCAAAGUGAUCAUUUAUCAACUCCAAGUGCCUGCUUCACCGUCUCUUUCAUGAGAAUCACAGCAGACUCCAGAACUUGAAGAGGAUCGCACACCUUGAUGCAGAACGAACCACUGUUGGACUUUGGGAACCAUUCCUUUCUGAAUGAAGAGGAGACACUCAGUUCCGAAUGUGUUUCCUCCGUAUUUUCUGCUACUGUCUUUCCGAAUCUCGGGGAUGAGCUACGAUGGGCCCUCAUCAUCUGUAAGGGGUGCACUUUCCAUUGUUGGGAAAGCAGUCUGCUCAUGUUUUCUGUACAGAAAUCCAGAAGCACAGAGGCUGCCUCUCACCCUCAAGACGACAAGAAGUCGUGAUUAAUUGCCUGUCUAUUGUAACAAUUAACACUUAUCCCUGCAGACACCUGAUUACAAUGACUAAUUAGACAAAAUUUCUUCUCAAAGCCUUUGGAAUCACAGUUCUUAUGCAAUAAAGCUCUAAGCCUUUAUU